This is a long non-coding RNA of Passer domesticus (house sparrow), 426 nucleotides long. RefSeq lists it as uncharacterized. The record is from RefSeq and is a predicted model, not a curated record. The transcript is spliced from 4 exons. Lineage: Eukaryota; Metazoa; Chordata; Aves; Passeriformes; Passeridae.
CAAAGACAUGGCAGGCAGGAAAUUCCAGGACCCAUUAGAAAUCAUGUGGCAAAUGCUGAAGGAACGUCUGCAGAGAAGACAAGAGAUGGACAUAGUGCUUCAGUGGAAGGUGGUAUUUCUUGAAGGAAGCACUCCAUCUUCGGUGCCAGCCCCUGCUGCAGGAAGGAAGGCAAAGCCAGACACGGGCACAGGCACAGCAGACUGGGAUGCUGGGAAGGAUUCUCCAUUAGCCUGGCGCUCUGAAGUUGUGAAGCACUCUGAGCAUUCUGCAGGCGUGUCUGCAGGGACGACCUCACCAACUCCUACCUUGGAUGCUGCACAAAAGGCCAGCUCCCAUGGCAGGGGUGAGUAGUGUGUCCCUGCUGACCCCUCAGGCUGAGCCCUGCUUUUGUGGGGUCCAUUCCUGGGAAAUGGAACUACUUUCUC